RNAcentral lists this ribosomal RNA (550 nucleotides) under Amatitlania sajica (T-bar cichlid). RNAcentral describes it as "partial 16S ribosomal RNA". It matches the Rfam family "Bacterial large subunit ribosomal RNA", at positions 1845 to 2589 of the family's 2925-position model. The record is from RNAcentral. Lineage: Eukaryota; Metazoa; Chordata; Actinopteri; Cichliformes; Cichlidae.
AUAAGAGGUCCCGCCUGCCCGGUGACUAUUAGUUUAACGGCCGCGGUAUUUUGACCGUGCAAAGGUAGCGCAAUCACUUGUCCUUUAAAUGAAGACCUGUAUGAAUGGCACCACGAGGGCUCAACUGUCUCCUUUUUCCUGUCAAUGAAAUUGAUCUCCCCGUGCAGAAGCGGGGAUUCCCCCAUAAGACGAGAAGACCCUAUGGAGCUUUAGGCACCAGAACAGACUAUGUUAAGCACCCUGACACAAAAGACAAAACUAACCAGACCCUGUUCCAAUGCUUUUGGUUGGGGCGACCGCGGGGAAACAAAAAACCCCCACGUGGACUAAGAGUACCCCUCACUCUUACAACCAAGGGCCACGGCCCUAAGAAACAGAACCUCUGACCCUAAAUGACCCGGUACAACCGAUCAACGAACCGAGUUACCCUAGGGAUAACAGCGCAAUCCCCUUCUAGAGUCCAUAUCGACAAGGGGGUUUACGACCUCGAUGUUGGAUCAGGACAUCCUAUUGGUGCGGCCGCUAUUAAGGGUUCGUUUGUUCAACGAUU